GAUUUAUCCGCAGUUUGCCAUGACAAGUAUCCGCACCCCCGUGAUAUGCCCUACAGUCCCCUGCUUGGGAACAAGGAGCUGGUAUCAGGCACAUCUCUAUGAUUAGCCCACAACACCUUGCUUAGCCACACCCUCAAGGGAAUCCAGCAGUGAUAAACAUUAAGCCAAUAAGUGUAAACUUGACUUAGUUAUGGCUAAAAGGGCCGGUAAAACUCGUGCCAGCUACCGCGGUUAUACGAGAGGCCCAAGUUGAUAAGCAUCGGCGUAAAGAGUGGUUAAGGUUAAAUAAAUACUAAAGCCGAACGCUUACAAGGCUGUUAUACGCACCCGAAAGUAAGAAGUACAACCACGAAAGUGGCUUUAUUACACCUGAACCCACGAAAGCCAAGGCACAAACUGGGAUUAGAUACCCCACUAUGCUUUAGCCCUAAACAUUGAUAGUUUUUUACACCUACUAUCCGCCUGGGAACUACGAGCAACAGCUUAAAACCCAAAGGACUUGGCGGUGCUUUAGACCCACCUAGAGGAGCCUGUUCUAAAAAACCGAA
This 548-nucleotide ribosomal RNA is filed under the name Cephalopholis oligosticta (vermillion hind). Its description in RNAcentral is "partial 12S ribosomal RNA". It matches the Rfam family "Bacterial small subunit ribosomal RNA", at positions 69 to 955 of the family's 1533-position model. The record is from RNAcentral. Lineage: Eukaryota; Metazoa; Chordata; Actinopteri; Perciformes; Serranidae.